RNAcentral lists this long non-coding RNA (285 nucleotides) under Musa acuminata (dwarf banana). RNAcentral's name for it is "long non-coding RNA (MACU_LNC005367)". The record is from RNAcentral. Lineage: Eukaryota; Viridiplantae; Streptophyta; Magnoliopsida; Zingiberales; Musaceae.
AUAUUUUUAAGAAAACCAGCAUAAGACACUCUUUCAGCGAAAAAACAAGAGUAGAAAAAAAAAAGAAAAAAAAGAGGAAGGGUGUCAUGGGAAAGAUGGAGAGGCAGAGAUUGAUAAUGGUAUUGAUGUCGCACGAACUGCGGUCCUGCGAGUUUUUGUACGGGCACGGAAAAGUUAUUUCCCAACUCGUGCAAUCGCCCCCAUCUCCCCACUCCCAAGAUCGGAACAGUCUCCUCCCCGUCUGCUGUCUUCUGACCGACCCCUCUUGAAUGCAUGCACCGCUUG